This 814-nucleotide ribosomal RNA is filed under the name Nitrososphaerota archaeon. Its description in RNAcentral is "bacterial SSU rRNA". It matches the Rfam family "Archaeal small subunit ribosomal RNA", at positions 1 to 779 of the family's 1478-position model. Lineage: Archaea; Thermoproteati; Nitrososphaerota. The record is from RNAcentral.
GUACUCCCAAUGUAUCCGGUUGAUCCUGCCGGACCCGACUGCUAUCGGAUAGAGAUUAAGCCAUGCGAGUCGAACAUUUCUCAACUAUGUGAGAAGUGUGGCAUACGGCUCAGUAACACGUGGUCAACCUACCCUAAAGACAUGGAUAACCCCGGGAAACUGGGAUUAAUAUAUGAUAGGUCAUUUUUCCUGGAAUCGGUUUAUGACUUAAAGGAUUGUUAAGCAUGUUUGAUUAAUUGCUUUAGGAUGGGACUGCGACCGAUCAGGUUGUUGGUGGGGUAAUGGCCUACCAAGCCGAUUACCGGUGCGGGCUUUGAGAGAAGGAGCCCGGAGAUGGACACUGAGAAAAGGGUCCAGGCCCUACGGGGCGCAGCAGGCGCGAAAACUUUGCAAUGUGCGAAAGCACGACAAGGUUAAUCCGAGUGCAACAUGCUGAAUGUAGCUUUUGGUAAAUGUAAAUAGUUUAUUGAAUAAGGGGAGGGAAAGUCUGGUGUCAGCCGCCGCGGUAAUACCAGCUCCCCGAGUGGUCGGGACGAUUAUUGGGCCUAAAGCAUCCGUAGCCUGUUCUGUAGGUCUUAUGUUAAAAUCAAUUGCUCAACAAUUGAACUGCAUGAGAUACCACAAAACUAGGAGGCGGGAGAGGUGGACGGUACUCCACGGGUAGGGGUAAAAUCCUCUGAACCGUGGAAGACCACCAGUGGCGAAGGCGGUCCACCAGAACGCGCUCGACGGUGAGGGAUGAAAGCUGGGGUAGCGAACCGGAUUAGAUACCCGGGUAGUCCCAGCUGUAAACGAUGCAAGCUAGGUGAUGCAU